AGCUACAUCCGUCACCUGACACGGCCCUACCAGGAACAGCCGCGCUCCCGCGGAUUCUGGUGCUGCUCGCGUCCCCGCUCCCCUAUUCCCCUUAUUUUAUUCCUGGCUCCCCUCGUCGAAAGUCUUCCAUUCUUCAAACUAGAUUAUUUAAAAAUGAAAAAGGAAGAAAGGAAAGCGAGGUCAUCUCAUUGCUCUAUCCGCCAAUCAGGAGGCUGAAUGUCAGUUUUGAACUAAAAGCCGCUCCGCUCCUCUUCUAGAUUUGGAAAACAAGCGAAAUUAAACUAAACCGCUGCACGCCUCUGACGCGACAUCUGGACACGGCGCGGCGCUGGCGCUGCCGGAGCUGUCGACCCGGCCUGGCGCCGGACUAGUGUCCCUUUUGAUGAGAAGAAUAAGCCUCAUUCUGAUUCAACAGCAGAGAUCAAAGAAAAGACUUCUGUUUUCUGGCCACCAGAUAUAUGUUAUCUGUGCUUAAAGAAUUGAAAAACACACAUCAAAGGAGAAUUUUCUUGGAAAGAGAGUAGAGACGGGGUUUCACCAUGUUGGCCAGACUGGUCUUGAACUCUCGACCUCGUGAUUCGCCCGCCUCGGCCUCCCAAAGUGCUGGGAUUACAGGUGUGAGACACCACACCCGGCGGAUAGAGAGAAUUUUGACAGGUGAGGAGGUAUUCCAAUGCAAAAGAAUAAUAGGAGCAAAAGCACAGUGGUGAGAAAUUGGAGGGGAACUGUGAAAAUUGCCACAUAGAUUAGAGGCAGGAAAAUAAAGGACGGCUAAGUUUAUAUAGUGAACAGUGAGCCGCAUGGACACAGGUGACUGUUUUCUCCUUUUUGAACCCCUGCUUACUCCAGAGUCACCACCUCUCCUGGCUUUCUGCCAAUCUUCUUGGCCACAGUUUCUCGGUCUUCUUUUCUGGCUUCUCUUCCUUGGCCUGAAUGCUACAUGUUAAGUGAUGUCAGCUUCAGUUUUCUUAACCUCUCUUCUCUUAAGUUGCUAUCAUUUAAAUAUCUUUAAAUAUCAUCUACAUCCAAGUGACCUCUAAACCAGUAAUUUUACCCAUGACCCAUCUCCUCAACUCCGGAUUGUAUAUAAAACUGUCUACUCAACAUCUUCACUUUUGAUGUCUAAAUCUCUAUGUCCAAUUUAGAAUUCUUGAUUCUUUGCUUUCCCUCCCUCCUGGAAAUCCUGCUCUUACCAGUCUUCCCCAUCUUAAUUAAUGAACCUGACAUUCACCUAGUAGCUUAGUCCUCAAAACUAGGGAUUAAUCUAGAUUUAGUCAUUUUUCUUACUCUUGCCAUAUAAUAACAUAUUAUUCUGAGUUUACCUUUACCCGACCCCAAAUAGGUAACUGCUGUUUUUGUUAUAAGAUAGUAAUAUUUGCCUCUGAGUGUAUGUGAAUUAUUUUGAUAAAAAUAAAUAUUAUUUUUAAAAUAUUAA
Molecule: long non-coding RNA, 1435 nt
Filed under: Homo sapiens (human)
Lineage: Eukaryota; Metazoa; Chordata; Mammalia; Primates; Hominidae
Description: CDKN2B and CDKN2A antisense cis and trans regulatory RNA 1, transcript variant 26 (CDKN2B-AS1)
Rfam family: CDKN2B antisense RNA 1 convserved region 3 (bases 379-522)
Source: RNAcentral